GCCGGCGUAGCUCAGUUGGUAGAGCAGUUCAUUCGUAAUGAAAAGGUCGGGGGUUCGAUUCCCUCCUCCGGCACCG
Molecule: transfer RNA, 76 nt
Filed under: Betaproteobacteria bacterium HGW-Betaproteobacteria-22
Lineage: Bacteria; Pseudomonadati; Pseudomonadota; Betaproteobacteria
Description: tRNA-Thr
Rfam family: tRNA
About the family: Transfer RNA (tRNA) molecules are approximately 80 nucleotides in length.
Source: RNAcentral